AAGUCUAAGUAUAAAUCAAUUUUACUGAUGAAACUGCGAACGGCUCAUUAAAUCAGUUAUAAUUUAUUUGAUGGUACGGGAGAAAUCCCACUACAUGGAUAACUGUAGUAACCUAGAGCUAAUACAUGCAAAUCAGUCAAACUUUUUGGAAUGACUGGCACUUAUUAGAUAACAAACCAAUAUGUAGCAAUACAUUCUUAUGGUGAAUCAUAAUAACUGAACAGAUCGCAUGGUCUUGUACCGGCGACGUUUCAUUCAAAUUUCUGCCCUAUCAACUAGAUGCUAGUAUAGAGUACUAUCAUGGUUUUCACGGGUAACGGGGAAUUAGGGUUCGAUUCCGGAGAAGGAGCAUGAGAAACGGCUACUACUUCUAAGGAAAGCAGCAGGCGCGCAAAUUAUUCAAUGGAAACAAAUUUCCGAAAUAGUGACAAAAAAUAACGAUGCAUGGCCAUAUGGUUGUGUAAUUGAAAUGAGUACAAUUUAAAUCCCUUAACGAGUAACAAUUAGAGGGCAAGUCUGGUGCCAGCAGCCGCGGUAAUUCCAGCUCUAGUAGCGUAUAUUAAUGUUGUUGCAGUUAAAAAGCUCGUAGUUGAAACUUGAAUGUUGUAAUAGGUUUGGUUUUCUAAUUUAUUAGUAUAACUACCUAUUCACAUUCUUCCCACUAGUAACUCGAUUCUGUUCUUAAUUGAAUGGAAUAGCAGUCUUUUCGGGGAUUGUCGAAUAGAGUGUUAAACUCCACCAUUUGUAUGGAUUUAUGUAAAAGUAGAAAAAUAUAAUGAGUGGAUCAAGUUUAGUAUUUUAUUUGGAGUUCUAGUUCAUUUACUUUGAGAAAAUUAGAGUGUUUAAAGCAGCCUCUUGGGGCUCUGAAUACAUUAGCAUGGGAUAAUAGAAUAGGAUUUCAAUCAUAUUAUUGGUUUGAAUGGAUGAAAUAAUGAUUAAGAGGAACAGUUGGGGGUAUUUAUAUUGGAUGGGGACCGGUGAAAUGGGUGGAUCCAUUCAAGAUAAACUAAAGCGAAAGCAUUUACCAAGGAUGUUUUCAUUAAUCAAGAACGAAAGUUAAGGGAUCGAAGACGAUUAGAUACCGUCGUAGUCUUAACUAUAAACUAUGCCGACCAGGGAUAUGAGUUGUUAUGAAUAUUUUUUUAAAAAAGGGUAUUCAAUUUCCUCUUGUGGACCUUGUGAGAAAUCAUAAGUUUUUGGGUUCUGGGGGGAGUAUGGUCGCAAGGCUGAAACUUAAAGGAAUUGACGGAGGGGCACCACCAGGAGUGGAGCGUGCGGCUUAAUUUGACUCAACACGGGAAAACUUACCAGGUCCAGACAUUAGAAGGAUUGACAGAUUGAUAGCUCUUUCAUGAUUUGAUGGGUGGUGGUGCAUGGCCGUUCUUAGUUGGUGGAGUGAUUUGUCUGGUUAAUUCCGAUAACGAACGAGACCUUUACCAUACUAAAUAGUUUAUUUUAUCUUUUGAUAGAAAACAUUAAAAAAACUUCUUAGAGGGACUAUUGGUUUUUAAACCAAAGGAAGUAAAGGCGAUAACAGGUCUGUGAUGCCCUUAGAUGUUCUGGGCUGCACGCGCGCUACAAUGAUAAACUCACCGAGUAAUUAUAUCUUUAUUGAUAUUUUGCUUAUCCGGAAGGAUUGGCUAAUCUUAAACGUUUAUCGUGCUUGGGAUAGAUGAUUGCAAUUAUUUAUCUUGAACCAGGAAUUCCUAGUAAUCGUAUAUCAUCAGUGUGCGAUGAUUACGUCCCUGCCCC
Molecule: ribosomal RNA, 1752 nt
Filed under: Vannella mustalahtiana
Lineage: Eukaryota; Discosea; Flabellinia; Vannellidae
Description: SSU rRNA
Rfam family: Eukaryotic small subunit ribosomal RNA
Source: RNAcentral